UACGUAGGGUCCGAGCGUUGUCCGGAAUUAUUGGGCGUAAAGGGCUCGUAGGCGGUUUGUCACGUCGGGAGUGAAAACUCAGGGCUCAACCCUGAGCGUGCUUCCGAUACGGGCAGACUAGAGGUAUGCAGGGGAGAACGGAAUUCCUGGUGUAGCGGUGGAAUGCGCAGAUAUCAGGAGGAACACCGGUGGCGAAGGCGGGUCUCUGGGCCGUAACUGACGCUGAGGAGCGAAAGCAUGGGGAGCGAACAGG
This 253-nucleotide ribosomal RNA is filed under the name uncultured bacterium. Its description in RNAcentral is "partial 16S ribosomal RNA". It matches the Rfam family "Bacterial small subunit ribosomal RNA", at positions 524 to 776 of the family's 1533-position model. The record is from RNAcentral.